Talpa occidentalis (Iberian mole) is the source of this 136-nucleotide small nucleolar RNA. RefSeq annotates it as small nucleolar RNA SNORA42/SNORA80 family. The transcript has a single exon. NCBI's taxonomy places the organism in Eukaryota, Metazoa, Chordata, Mammalia, Eulipotyphla, Talpidae. The record is from RefSeq and is a predicted model, not a curated record.
GCAUGGAAAUGGAUUUAUGGUAGGCCCUUCUUUGUGGGCUUCUCAUAGUGUACCCAUGCGAGAGUAAGGUGUAGCCUCGAACCAUUGCCCAGCCCCUCACCCGUGGACUGUGAGCACUGAAAGGGGCUGUACAUUU